CUCACCUUGCGUCAUCCUCACUCUCCUCCUGGAUCUGUCUCUCGGUCGUGUCUGCCAAGGCGAUCUCGAGCUCCGCUUGGCCAAGUCUUCCCGGAGGACAGCAUUCCUUCUCAGUCAAAGGCUCGAGCACACAACGUUGGGCGCCAAAUGUCCCGUCCGGCAGGACAUAUCAACGUGGGCAGCGAACCUAGAUGGGGAGGAAAGAAGGGACAAGAGACACGAAAGGUGACAGCAAGACAGGUGUCUGAUCAAGCUGCAAACUUUUAUUGUUCACACAGGGGUAUUUAUAUGCUGGGGAUGGGGAAGCUCUCUAAUCAACAAUUGCUGGAUGUGGGUGGUAAAACUGCCAGGUGCAAGAUGUCUGAUGAUCCUGAUAACCACAGGAUGUUCCAGGGAGAUAGGUAGCUGCAGGAUGCCUCCCAGGCAGGAUGUCUCCCAGGGGGCUGUCAGGCUAAUCUUUGAAG
This 464-nucleotide long non-coding RNA is filed under the name Marmota monax (woodchuck). Lineage: Eukaryota; Metazoa; Chordata; Mammalia; Rodentia; Sciuridae. The record is from RNAcentral.